RNAcentral lists this long non-coding RNA (336 nucleotides) under Lupinus angustifolius (narrow-leaved blue lupine). RNAcentral describes it as "long non-coding RNA (LANG_LNC000197)". The record is from RNAcentral. Lineage: Eukaryota; Viridiplantae; Streptophyta; Magnoliopsida; Fabales; Fabaceae.
AAACAUGAAUCAUUCCUUCUACGCUCUCAAACUUAGUUGAAAAGAAAUCAUCAUACUCUCAUAAACUCUCAUAUUCUCACAAACCUCAUAAAACUUCAUCAAUGGCUUCCCAAAUCGUUGUUAAAAAAUGACCUCCACGUGGAAUGACUUCCAUGAAGAAUAUCAUUCGAUCAAGAAGUAAGGAUGUGAAUAUAGAAGUUCAAUGGAACUCUAAAGGCCAACCAUUAAACUCAAAGGGUGGCAAUGCAUUGGUAAGCUACAUUGGAGGUGUUGUUAAGCAGAAUGUGAAACUAACAUUCAACAAAUGGAGUAAUAUAGGGAAUACCGUGAAGGAGC